RNAcentral lists this unclassified non-coding RNA (316 nucleotides) under Hevea brasiliensis (rubber tree). Lineage: Eukaryota; Viridiplantae; Streptophyta; Magnoliopsida; Malpighiales; Euphorbiaceae. The record is from RNAcentral.
UUUUAAAUCUAUCUGUACUGGCUGAUUUAGAUACAACCGAGAAUUGGCAAUUCCCUUGCAAAAUUUCACAGGACGAGAAGUUUCUACUGGACUGCAAAAUUUAUUUGAACCAUCACUGCCAUUUUAGCUUAUUGACACACCAUUAAAGAAUCCUAUGCAGUAUUACAAUGGGAAAGUGAGUAUAAAUAUUAAAAACCAGCAGAAUUGUCGGAGAGCUGUUUGCACAAGGUCAGUUCAUGUGCAGUCCUCGCCAAUGUCAACAGCAUCAACAGGCUGGACAAAUAUCCUCCAAACACAAAUUUAGUUUACAACAGGA